This 184-nucleotide ribosomal RNA is filed under the name uncultured eukaryote. RNAcentral describes it as "partial 18S ribosomal RNA". It matches the Rfam family "Eukaryotic small subunit ribosomal RNA", at positions 1299 to 1458 of the family's 1831-position model. The record is from RNAcentral.
UCGUGGUACGAGCUGUCUGGUUAAUUCCGAUAACGAACGAGACUCUAACCUGCUAAAUAGUACAGUUGCAAUUAUUAUACGGAUCUCUGUAUUGGUACUUUUGUGCCGAUACAGUCCCGUGUAAGCAGGUGAAACUUCUUAGAGGGACUGGCGCCAAAAAGGCGCACGAGAAAGAGCAAUAACA